Molecule: transfer RNA, 66 nt
Filed under: Platyscapa corneri
Lineage: Eukaryota; Metazoa; Arthropoda; Insecta; Hymenoptera; Agaonidae
Description: tRNA-Glu
Source: RNAcentral
UUUUAUAUAGUUUAUUAAAACAUUAUAUUUUCACUAUAAAAAUAAUUAGAAUCUAAUUUAUAAAAA